RNAcentral lists this ribosomal RNA (250 nucleotides) under uncultured bacterium. Its description in RNAcentral is "partial 16S ribosomal RNA". It matches the Rfam family "Bacterial small subunit ribosomal RNA", at positions 524 to 773 of the family's 1533-position model. The record is from RNAcentral.
UACGAAGGGGGCUAGCGUUGUUCGGAAUUACUGGGCGUAAAGGGCGCGUAGGCGGUUGUCCAAGUCAGGUGUGAAAGCCCAGGGCUCAACCCUGGAUGUGCACUUGAGACUGGGCGGCUUGGGUUCGGGAGAGGAUGGUGGAAUUCCCAGUGUAGAGGUGAAAUUCGUAGAUAUUGGGAAGAACACCGGUGGCGAAGGCGGCCAUCUGGACCGAUACCGACGCUGAGGCGCGAAAGCGUGGGGAGCAAAC